Molecule: long non-coding RNA, 1889 nt
Filed under: Solanum tuberosum (potato)
Lineage: Eukaryota; Viridiplantae; Streptophyta; Magnoliopsida; Solanales; Solanaceae
Description: long non-coding RNA (STUB_LNC000474)
Source: RNAcentral
AAUUAGUUGUCUGUUCUUUUUAAUUAAUAGAAAUGUUUCUGGAGUUACAUAUGACCAUGGUGCCUCCCUAAUCAGAGUGGCUCCCUUCUCUCUUGUCAGAACACUGUUUAGUGUGUAUUUUGUUUCCAUAUUUGUUUUUUAAUAAUCCAGAUGCUUAUGUUCUUUGGUUAUCCAACUGGUGAGGAUUUCCAUGGUUAUGGACAAGACAUGAUAAGUGUAUUCAAAUUCAACAGUGUUCUUUUGAAGACCCUGUAAAGCACUCCUAUUCUUUUCGUGAUCUUGCUACUUACCUUCUCUGAUUUCGUUUAGCCUACCAGUUGAUUUAGUUUGGUUGGAUGAAUGUCUGUAGGCAAUGUGGUGGUAGUAAGAGGACAAUAAUUUGAUACUUUGUAGUUUGGUUUUGGUGUGCAUACCCUGAGGACCAUGUUUCUUGCCAUUUUGGUGCUUGCAUUGCAAUCUGGAUAUUGGAUAUCACCAGGUAGUAAGAAAAAGGUGCUUUGCAAUCUUAUCUUGUUUGGCAUCUCUAGUGAUCUCUCCUGCGUGGUACGGGUUUAUGUUCUUUUUGUGCAUGUAACCAUGGGUUUUCCAGUGCAUGAACUUCAAGUUUUUUUCCUAAUCAAUGAGUCCCUUCUCUUUGUCAAAACUACUGUUAUGUGGAAGUUCUGAACAAUGAUAAUAUUUUACACUAGUCUACUUUGGUGUUCUUGCUGCUCUUAUGCUUGUCAUGCCUCUUGAUUUUGUUUGUUUGGAUGCUUGUUUGUAGAUCAACAUGGUGAUCGUGAGGGGAUCAGAUUGGGUAAUUUCGAAGUUUGGUUUCAGUGUGUCCGUUGGUUGUGUACCUUGUUCCUUCGCCAUUUUGGUACUUGUGCUUGCACUGCAAUUUGGAUAUCACCAGGCACUGGCAAGGGCGUUAUGCAAUCUUGUCUUGCAUCUCUCUACUGAUCUCUUCUCUGUUUAUUUUUGGAGAUCUCUCCCCUAUUGUUAAUAUUGUUUUUGGAACAUGUGUAUUAUGUUCAGAUAUUAAUUCAUUUACGGAGUUGCUUCAGACUGUUAGCCAUUGUGUAAACCGCACACUGUUUUUGCCAUAAAACAUUGCCAUUUGAACAGUCAAAUAUUGAAUCUAGAACAGACAAAGUAAAAAACAUGGCUCAUCUUUUGUGUAACAAGUCAUGUACACUCUUUAUGUUAUUUAUAUCAACGCAACUAGUUUUGUGUUACCAGAGAUGGUUGAUGAUUUUUGGAUAUUUACAGAAUUUGGUAGGUCUGGUUUUCUUGGUGCAGUUGUAUCCGUAAGUUUUCUGAUUUUGCUAUGUAGGUAUGGAGUAUGAGAGAUCUGUGAGUUGCAGAAAAGAGUGUCUGCAGAAUGCUUGGCCUCCUGUGCUGUGGAAGUGAGACCUGAAGGAUGAGCUUAUGGCGCAGGGAAUCUCUUUCUGGGUUUUGCAAUUUUUUUUUGAAGUUUGAAUUUGCUUUGAAUUCGCACUUUUGUUGGUUUCUCAAGGCAUCCAAGGACUUCCUGUUAGCAUGAUUGGACAGAUUCUAAAUAUCUGUACAUAUCUAUGUUAUAACUCUAAAUAUUUGUGUAAUGAUAAUAGGAGAUAGCAUAGAUUAAUGUAGCAUAUUUUCAGAGAUAUUACAAUUAGGAAUAGCAUAUAUUUAGGGAUAUAUAGCAGAUUUUUAGGCGUGUAAAUCAGAAUUCUUUCUAUUUAAUGGAAGAAGUCAAAUUUGAGAGAACUCAUUCAACAAAAUUGACAGGAUGAAUGUCUGUAGGCCACGUGGUGGUAGCAAGAGGACAAUAAUUGGAUACUUUGUAGUUUGGUUUUGGUGUGCAUACCCUGUGGACCAUGUUUCUUGCCAUUUUGGUGCUUGCAUUGCAAUCUGGAUAUUGGAUA